GACGAACGCUGGCGGCGUGCUUAACACAUGCAAGUCGAACGGAAAGGCCCCUUUGGGGGUACUCGAGUGGCGAACGGGUGAGUAACACGUGAGUAACCUGCCCUUGACUUCGGGAUAACUUCAGGAAACUGGGGCUAAUACCGGAUAGGAAUCCUUGCUGCAUGGUGGGGGUUGGAAAGCUUCGGCGGUUUUGGAUGGACUCGCGGCUUAUCAGCUUGCUGGUGGGGUAGUGGCUUACCAAGGCUUUGACGGGUAGCCGGCCUGAGAGGGCGACCGGCCACAUUGGGACUGAGAUACGGCCCAGACUCCUACGGGAGGCAGCAGUGGGGAAUAUUGCACAAUGGGCGGAAGCCGGAUGCAGCAACGCCGCGUGCGGGAUGACGGCCUUCGGGUUGUAAACCGCUUUCAGCAGGGGCGAAGCUUGUGGUGACGGUACCUGCAGAAGAAGCACCGGCUAACUACGUG
Molecule: ribosomal RNA, 465 nt
Filed under: uncultured bacterium
Lineage: Bacteria
Description: partial 16S ribosomal RNA
Rfam family: Bacterial small subunit ribosomal RNA
Source: RNAcentral